AUGAACGCUGGCGGCGUGCUUUACACAUGCAAGUCGAGCGAGGCCAGGGGGCAACCCCUGAGUCGAGCGGCGAACGGGUGAGUAACGCGUGGAUAACCUGCCCUGAGGUGGGGAACAACCAGGGGAAACUCUGGCUGAUACCGCAUGAUACCGAGAGGUCAAAGGGGGCUCGCAAGGGCUCUCGCCACAGGAGGGGUCCGCGUUCGAUUAGCUAGUUGGUAGGGUAAUGGCCUACCAAGGCGACGAUCGAUAGCCGGCCUGAGAGGGUGAUCGGCCACACUGGAACUGAGACACGGUCCAGACUCCUACGGGAGGCAGCAGUGGGGAAUUUUGCGCAAUGGGCUAACGCCUGACGCAGCAACGCCGCGUGGAGGAUGAAGGUCUUUGGAUUGUAAACUCCUGUCGACCGGGAAAAAGCGACCCGACCUAAUACGUCGGGAAGUUGAUUGUACCGGUGGAGGAAGCCCCGGCUAACUCUGU
This 480-nucleotide ribosomal RNA is filed under the name uncultured bacterium. RNAcentral describes it as "bacterial SSU rRNA". It matches the Rfam family "Bacterial small subunit ribosomal RNA", at positions 29 to 506 of the family's 1533-position model. The record is from RNAcentral.